Molecule: ribosomal RNA, 277 nt
Filed under: uncultured bacterium
Lineage: Bacteria
Description: partial 16S ribosomal RNA
Rfam family: Bacterial small subunit ribosomal RNA
Source: RNAcentral
UUACAUUGAAGCCUAGCGAUAUGUAAGUUAGUGGCGGACGGGUGAGUAACGCGUGAGCAACCUGCCCUGCAAAGGGGGACAACAGUUGGAAACGACUGCUAAUACCGCAUGAGACCACGGAACCGCAUGGUUUUGAGGUAAAAGGAAUUAUUUCGAUGCAGGAUGGGCUCGCGUCCCAUUAGAUAGUUGGUGAGGUAACGGCCCACCAAGUCAACGAUGGGUAGCCGACCUGAGAGGGUGAUCGGCCACACUGGAACUGAGACACGGUCCAGACUCC